CUCUCAGCUGAUCGGCGGGUGGGCGGGGCUUCCAGGGAGGCCUCGUGUAGGCCUCUGUGAAGCCUGAACUCCAGUAGGGCCCAAGCCAGCCAGGAAGGAGGAGGCAGCCAGAGUGGCCACCACUGCUCUCUGCAGCAGAAGACCCCUUGCUGCCAGGCUACUGGUUUAGCUGAAGGAUAUCUCCUUGGUUUAAAUAAUCCAAAUAGAACAACACAUAUGAACUUUCCUGUUCACUCAGCUCUUCACCUGGGGCUCUUCUCUGGAUGUCCCCACCUUCAGAGUUUAGACCUUCCAGAAAUGAUAGUUCAACCUUUGAACAAAUGAUGCUGGUGCUGAAAACAAAUUUAUUGAAGACAUAUUACAAAUGGCCACAUGAUUCCAGUAUUUUGCUGCAGAAUUUAAUUUGAAGCACAUCUGCCAACAUCCUCAAGGAACAAUGCCAACAUAUUUUAUAUCUGGAUUUUCGGGGUGGCUCACUCAUGAGGCAAGAUAAAGUUGCUUGUAUCCAUGCCGAUUUGGACUCCAGGAAUUUUGGCAGUUCCAAGAGACAUGCCUCGGCAACCAUCUGGUCUUACUGUGAUGAAUUCUGUUCAGUUAGUGCAGCCUGAGGAAGUGGACAAGAUCCAAGGCAGUGUGCAGGGAACAUCAUGCGCUCUGCACCCUUGCCCUUCAUGGCUAGUAAAAUCUGCCAGGGAAGGAACAGGUGAGCCUGUCUCCAUGCCAUUUGGACCAAAGCAUGACAAGGCAGGCUGCGACAGCAUCCAGGGCUUCGCUGGGAGGUCCUGCCAUGGGGUGUACCUCUGGCUCAACUUGGGUGCUACCAAGAAACCAAGAUAUAUGAUCAUCUACAGCACCAGCUUCAGAUUCCUCCCCCCCACCGCCAUCUUGAGCUUGGGAAACCUCAGGUUCUGUUAUGUGUGAAUGCAGCCAUAGACAGAAACAAGUCUAUAACAUGGGAGCUAAGGAGAAGGGAUUGGACUCUUAAAAAACUAUAAUUUGGCAAAACAAACCAAGACUUGGUGAUCAACUGUGGCACCAAUUCAGGUGUUAUUGUUAAAUAAACCUAAGUUAAAAUAAAGUGUUCAGUGUACUGUCUGAACCUGCCCACUCUCUUGCAGUGCUGCUUGGGCAAUGACAGAAAAGGCUGGGCAGAACAGUGUACGCCUGCUCUUCAGGGCAUCUGCACUAAUGCUCACUCAAAUAAAGGGCAAGCUCCAGGUUUAAAGCCCUAGAAGUUUCCAAGAUGUAUGUUGCUCUGUACAGGUGUGGCUCCCAUGUGUGCCACUGCACAAAGACCAUGAAGAAGGACGCCCUGGAAUCUUCUCAAUAAUCUGUGUUGUCCUCCAUUUAGAUUAAACAUACAUGCACAAACAUUUAUUAUGAGUUUCUUCAAUAUGCUCGACUUCCAGUACAGUGCACUCCUCUCCAACGGGGGGCAUGCACAUACUGGAAGUCAAACACGAGAAACAUCAUUUGGGGAAGAAAGCCUCUUCUUUACUUGAUUCUUAAACCUGGAACUUUAUAACAAAGGCCUCUGACUUACUUUCCCUCAGAGCU
Long non-coding RNA from Hemicordylus capensis (graceful crag lizard), 1557 nucleotides. RefSeq lists it as uncharacterized. NCBI's taxonomy places the organism in Eukaryota, Metazoa, Chordata, Lepidosauria, Squamata, Cordylidae. The record is from RefSeq and is a predicted model, not a curated record. The transcript has 6 exons.